GACGAACGCUGGCGGCGUGCCUAAUACAUGCAAGUAGAACGCUGAAGGAGGAGCUUGCUCUUCUGGAUGAGUUGCGAACGGGUGAGUAGCGCGUAGGUAACCUGCCUGGUAGCGGGGGAUAACUAUUGGAAACGAUAGCUAAUACCGCAUAACAGUAGAUGUUGCAUGACAUUUGCUUAAAAGGUGCAAUUGCACCACUACCAGAUGGACCUGCGUUGUAUUAGCUAGUUGGUGGGGUAACGGCUCACCAAGGCGACGAUACAUAGCCGACCUGAGAGGGUGAUCGGCCACACUGGGACUGAGACACGGCCCAGACUCCUACGGGAGGCAGCAGUAGGGAAUCUUCGGCAAUGGACGGAAGUCUGACCGAGCAACGCCGCGUGAGUGAAGAAGGUUUUCGGAUCGUAAAGCUCUGUUGUAAGAGAAGAACGAGUGUGAGAGUGGAAAGUUCACACUGUGACGGUAUCUGACCAGAAAGGGACGGCUAGCUACGUG
This 495-nucleotide ribosomal RNA is filed under the name uncultured bacterium. RNAcentral's name for it is "partial 16S ribosomal RNA". It matches the Rfam family "Bacterial small subunit ribosomal RNA", at positions 28 to 507 of the family's 1533-position model. The record is from RNAcentral.